Molecule: long non-coding RNA, 304 nt
Organism: Pteronotus mesoamericanus
Lineage: Eukaryota; Metazoa; Chordata; Mammalia; Chiroptera; Mormoopidae
Exons: 2
Source: RefSeq, a predicted model, not a curated record
GUAGUUGAUAGAUCCUAUAGUUCAACUUCGUUCCUAGAGACAAUAGAAGCUGGAUUCAUCUGAUACCAGAGUGUGAAGGUGAAGAUGAUUCUUCAAAUUAAAGAUGGAAGCUGACUUUUCUCACCAGAAUGGUUUAUAGAAUCAACUUGCAAAAAUAUAAGAGGUUGUAAACAAAGGAAAGAGUAAAAUAUUUUCAUUUAUCAACCUUAGAUUCUUUGUAAACUCUGUGAAAGCAGGAUAACUUCCUUAUCCUUAACACUUGGCCUAGAAUAAAUGGUAAAAAAAUAUUUGAAAUGAAUAAAAA